This 383-nucleotide ribosomal RNA is filed under the name uncultured bacterium. Its description in RNAcentral is "bacterial SSU rRNA". It matches the Rfam family "Bacterial small subunit ribosomal RNA", at positions 30 to 414 of the family's 1533-position model. The record is from RNAcentral.
AUUGAACGCUGGCGGCAUGCCUUACACAUGCAAGUCGAACGGCAGCACGGGAGCAAUCCUGGUGGCGAGUGGCGAACGGGUGAGUAAUAUAUCGGAACGUGCCCAGUCGUGGGGAUAACGUAGCGAAAGCUACGCUAAUACCGCAUACGAUCUAUGGAUGAAAGCGGGGGGAUCGCAAGACCUCGCGCGAUUGGAGCGGCCGAUAUCAGAUUAGGUAGUUGGUGAGGUAAAGGCUCACCAAGCCGACGAUCUGUAGCUGGUCUGAGAGGACGACCAGCCACACUGGGACUGAGACACGGCCCAGACUCCUACGGGAGGCAGCAGUGGGGAAUUUUGGACAAUGGCGCAAGCCUGAUCCAGCAAUGCCGCGUGCAGGAUGAAGG